UACGUAGGGCGCAAGCGUUGUCCGGAAUUAUUGGGCGUAAAGAGCUCGUAGGCGGCUUGUCACGUCGGAUGUGAAAGCCCGAGGCUUAACCUCGGGUCUGCAUUCGAUACGGGCUAGCUAGAGUGUGGUAGGGGAGAUCGGAAUUCCUGGUGUAGCGGUGAAAUGCGCAGAUAUCAGGAGGAACACCGGUGGCGAAGGCGGGUCUCUGGGCCGAUACUGACGCUGAGGAGCGAAAGCGUGGGGAGCGAACAGG
Molecule: ribosomal RNA, 253 nt
Filed under: uncultured bacterium
Lineage: Bacteria
Description: partial 16S ribosomal RNA
Rfam family: Bacterial small subunit ribosomal RNA
Source: RNAcentral